This 1231-nucleotide long non-coding RNA is filed under the name Parus major (Great Tit). Its description in RNAcentral is "lncRNA (ENSPMJG00000007404.1)". The record is from RNAcentral. Lineage: Eukaryota; Metazoa; Chordata; Aves; Passeriformes; Paridae.
AUUACUGAGCUGAGCUGGAAUCACUAUACCAUUACUGAGCUGAGCUGGAAUCACUAUACUAUUACUGAGCUGAGCUGGAAUCAUUAUACCAUUACUGAGCUGAGCUAGAAUCGACUGCUCGAAGCUGCUCACAUGCACUUCAGGCCAGCCUUUCUCAAGGCUGCUUCUGGAGAAGUCGCGGUGCUCCGGGCUUUCCGCCGCCACGGCACCACCCCUUUUAGGGAUGUGCUGCAGCAAUUAUGAGAAGUGAGAGGGAGUCGUGCCCUUGCUAUUAUUCUAGCAACUCUGUUAGGGGAAAAUCUGUGGAUUUAUUUCAGCCACAUUUUGUCUCUUCCAGCAAACAUUCUGGUAGUUUCCAAUACACCAAAAUGAGCAUAAGGGGAUUUUUUCUUCAGUGUUGUUACUUUUGAAUGACCUUGUGGAACAAUGACCAGAUGAUGAAGUGACCAUAUAAAAUACUCUUUUAUGAAAACACCAUGUCAUACACUGCUGGGACAAAUUGUCCAGAGCAGGAUGCUGGGAACAACUUUGAUGCUUUAGAGGAACCUAUAAAACAAAACUCUGGAGUUAUGCCAGGAGAGAGAGUAUGGAAUGGGGAAGGAUUGGAAGAAGAAUUGUUUCUUCUGCCAUGGGAAAAAAAUCAGCAUCUUGGCCUGCUUCACAAGAGUGUAACAGCCCCUUCCUGACUUGUGUGGUGAGGAAACCUGGGUCACAAAAGCUGUGCCCUUCUAUUUAUCAGGGCAGCAGCAAAGCAGCCCAGGGCUUCUGCCUGCCCUUGGGAAGGUGGUGGUGUACAGCAGCAGCAGCAGCCUGGAAGUUCCCUGGGAGCAGAGCAAGGAUGUGCAGCAGGGGAGGAGAGGAGCAGCCUGCAGCAUGGACUGGUGACAGUAGGACAGGAGGUCUGGCUGCAUCUGGGUGCAGAAGCUUCUGGCAGAGGUCUGGGGGGGACUGGUCCUGCUGUCAGGCAUCUGUCUCCCUCCUGGAACACAAGACUCGUGCUGAGGCCAGCCCAUGGUGGUAUUUUGCUGUAGUUUUGAGGCCGUGGCACAGAGGGAGAUGGCAGCAUGCUGUGCUGUGCUCAGGGAACAGCCUGGCUGAGCCCCUGUCCCAGCACACACUGCUCGUCCUCUGGCCUGGCCCUGCUGAUCACAGCCUGCCCUCAGCCCUCUGCAGACACAUCACAGCCCAUCUCAUUUUAUCCAAAUGCCAUUUCCCCCCUCCCCAGCCCUGA